CAGUCUCUGGGCUGUAACUGACGCUGAGGAGCGAAAGCAUGGGGAGCGAACAGGAUUAGAUACCCUGGUAGUCCAUGCCGUAAACGUUGGGCACUAGGUGUGGGGGACAUUCCACGUUUUCCGCGCCGUAGCUAACGCAUUAAGUGCCCCGCCUGGGGAGUACGGCCGCAAGGCUAAAACUCAAAGGAAUUGACGGGGGCCCGCACAAGCGGCGGAGCAUGCGGAUUAAUUCGAUGCAACGCGAAGAACCUUACCAAGGCUUGACAUGAACCGGAAAGACCUGGAAACAGGUGCCCCGCUUGCGGUCGGUUUACAGGUGGUGCAUGGUUGUCGUCAGCUCGUGUCGUGAGAUGUUGGGUUAAGUCCCGCAACGAGCGCAACCCUCGUUCUAUGUUGCCAGCGCGUUAUGGCGGGGACUCAUAGGAGACUGCCGGGGUCAACUCGGAGGAAGGUGGGGACGACGUCAAAUCAUCAUGCCCCUUAUGUCUUGGGCUUCACGCAUGCUACAAUGGCCGGUACAAAGGGUUGCGAUACUGUGAGGUGGAGCUAAUCCCAAAAAGCCGGUCUCAGUUCGGAUUGGGGUCUGCAACUCGACCCCAUGAAGUCGGAGUCGCUAGUAAUCGCAGAUCAGCAACGCUGCGGUGAAUACGUUCCCGGGCCUUGUACACACCGCCCGUCAAGUCACGAAAGUUGGUAACACCCGAAGCCGGUGGCCUAACCCUUGUGGGGGGAGCCGUCGAAGGUGGGACCGGCGAUUGGGACUAAGUCGUAACAAGGUAACCAAGGG
RNAcentral lists this ribosomal RNA (787 nucleotides) under uncultured bacterium. RNAcentral's name for it is "bacterial SSU rRNA". It matches the Rfam family "Bacterial small subunit ribosomal RNA", at positions 723 to 1506 of the family's 1533-position model. The record is from RNAcentral.